UUGUUACUUCCUCCGUCCGGAAAUAUUUGUCAUCAAAAUGGAUAAAAAGGGAUGUAUCUAUUAGAUAUACGUUUCUUUUUGUCCAUUUUGAUGACAAGUAUUUUUAGACGGAGGGAGUACAAU
Non-coding RNA from Triticum aestivum (bread wheat), 123 nucleotides. NCBI's taxonomy places the organism in Eukaryota, Viridiplantae, Streptophyta, Magnoliopsida, Poales, Poaceae. The record is from Rfam.